AGAGUAUUAGUGAAUGCCAUCUAGUGGUCAAUAUGUGAAAUUGAGCUGUCGUGAGCGAAUUAGAUUUUUUAAACUGAAAGCUAGAUUCAAACGAAUGACCAUGAGAAGUCAAUUACUUGGAAUGCGAACGAAAGGAAAUGCCACGACGAAAUGCGAUGCGUUUAGAAACUAUGAUUGAAUUCCUUACCAAUUGCCGUAAUACAAUAGACGUAAGGGACUGGCUCGAGUGUAAAGGAUCACCUUGAGAAAUCCAGGAAAAACAAAUUGAAACAGAAAAAAAAGAACGUCACGUGAAAAAUCUUUACCAUGCCACCGAAUUGGGGAAUGCUGCGUCGCUCCACCUGUCAAAAAAACAUCAACAUGUUAUCAUCUGUCGAUUGUGUGGUAGCAUUGAAGGACACACAAAUAACAACACACACAUACAACCGGUUCAUCAAGUUUGCUUCGGCCGAAAAGAAUUAUUCUAGGAAGUGCUGAGACCGAAAUGACAUCAGAAUUAGACCAAGACCAGAGAAGAUUCUUAUUCUAAAAUUUUCCAAAUAAACCCAAAACGGCCAAUGGAAUUCCAAAUGCCUUUCUGCGUGAAACGAACGUAUGAUAGUCGUUUUUGUCCUAAACAUUCGUGGACAAUAACGAACUCGUUCCGUCAAGAAGGGAAAAAUAUAUAUUUGAAGAAGAUUCCAUCUCCCCAUAUACGUGUAUUCUGUACACGACAUGCAUUCAUUGGAAGAAAGGAAUAGAAGAAAAAGUGCUCCGAAGUAAAGGAAAUCUAUACCAUGGGUAAGUCGUUCAUUAUCAUCUCGCCAUUUCGAAUGACGAAAGGCGUUCGGGUCUGAACGACUUCGAUCGUCGCUGAAGUUUCUUCGGCCUCGCCAUCAAUCAGCUGAUUUCUCCUUCUCUGACGUAGAAGAUUUUCUCGCAACAAUUCGGCCAAUUCGGCCGUCCGAUCGGACGGUGGAACACUGACGGCCGUCGAACUCGGCCGUUGGACAUUUGGAUUGAACUGAAACUGACGCCGUGGAUUAUGGCGGUUUAUCCCUGAUGAUGGAUGAGCCGUUCUCGAUCGGGAAAAGAGGGCUCUCGCUUCCGGCUCGGAAGUGCUGCGUAACACUCGCAGAUGGAUAUGAGAAUCAGCGAACCGUGACCACGACUGGCCAGCAGUCAGGUUGUUAUUUUCAUCCCUCACUUGGUCUUGUUCGUUGGUGUCUUGGACAUCACGACCCUCCAACGCGUCGCCGUCGGCUGGAUUCUCUUCCGGCCUGGCCAAAUAAGAUAGAAUGACGGAGAGGAAAGCUUGUCGCUGAACCUGCAGCGAUUCGGCGGCGACCAGCGCCAACGGUGACGAUGCCUCUGUUGUUGUGCUGUCAUUGCUGAGCUGUUUCACCGUUAUCGUACUGUUUCUUCUUCCGGAUUCCGAUGAGCCUCCAACCGCCAUCAGCACUGCACGAGUUAACCCAAAUCAAAAGUUUUCUUUCUUCUCUCUUCAAUCGAUUCAACGACAAGAAAAGCCAAUGAAAAAAUUGCAGAAAACUCACCUAAAAUGACGGCUAUUAACCGUUUCUUUAUCCACGGACAUUUGAACUUCAUGUCGAUUGGCGCCGUUAGAAACAAAUGCACUGGGAGCUGCUGGAGCGGCAGAAAUCGACCACCAUUCACAACGGCGAUCUGAUGGCGUCUCUUUUCGAAAUCCAAAAGAGAGAGAGAAACAAUAACGAACGAAACGUCCAAUAGAAGGAAAAGCAGCGCGUCUCUACCGGUCCGUGAACUAAAAAAACUGGAAAAAAGAGGGAAAGAAAAAAACCCGGGGAGAAAGUGAAACCGACUAUACUUGGUCAACGCGGAUUGAUCACAUACAACGACGUCACUUACGUGCAACAACCAUGAAUUAAGCAACUGAACAAACCACACACAAAAAAGAGAAGUUUAUUUUCUUUUCUUUUUCUUCUGUUCCUUAUGUUUUGGUUAUGAUUGGCGAUGAAGGCAUAAGUGAUAUCUAUCGAUUCGUGACGAAGAAGGGAGACGCUGCCCAUUGGCGUGCGUACAAAGUAUAUGCAUACGGCAAAAUAGAUCGGUAAGUAGGUGGAUGCGCUUCAGGGAUAUCUCCGAUAUCUCGGUCAACAUGUCACCCGUCCUUACACGUGCGCUAUACAGUUCAUAUUCUUCUUCCUAUUGAUUUAUUUAAGACUUGCCCCGGUUGCCAACUACGCAGAACAAAAUCAGAACAAUUGAAAGAAAGUUGUAAAAAACCUUUAUCGCGUGCAUACCAGUUUAUUUUGUAAUGAAUUCGUUGAUUUUUGCUUUUAAUUUUCACUUUUCAAAAUCAAAAAAAAAAAAUGAUUACUUUUGUUGUUGUCCCGUCGCAUAUUUAUGCAGCGACAACAACAAAACUUUCUCUAACAACUACCAACCUCGUCUCCCCCUUUCUCAUCCGAUUUCUCCGGAGCUGAUUUUUCUCCUUUUUACUUCAUAUGCUCAUACCAGUCGACUUCUCUGUUGUGUAUUUAAUAAAUACACAACAGACAGAGAGAGGAAAUCGUCUGGGUGCGCAUUGGCAAAUUUCCUGUUUUUUUUUUCUUUCAAAUGCAGGGAUUGAAAUGAUCUAAUGGUCGCCAAAACAUCAUCAAGUCAACAUCAAAUCGAAGGACCCCACUUUCCCUUUUUUGUGUCGGUUAAUGCAGACGAAACACGACAUCGAAAAUCGUUUUUUAAAUUCGUAUAAAGCAGAGUUUUAUCCCAAAGCUAAACGUGAUUUUUCUUUUUAGGACAUGAACCACAAGAAGGGUUUCGCAGGCUAAUGAUUAAAAGGGGCUCUGCAAUGGAGAGGAACACCUAAAGAAAAAGCCUGGAGAUAUAGAAAGAGUAAAUUAAAGGUGCGGCACGCCAUUCAUCCGAAUUGAGGAUAGCAAAGGAAUGUUGUAUUUGAACAUCAAUAAGCACCAUCGGGAAAAACUCACCAGGUGCAAGACGUACAACGGCGAUUUUCGUUCAACCAUCUGUCGGAAUCAAUUUCAACUAAACAAAACACGUGAUAAAAAUUCAUUUACGCUCGGCCGGGUUUGAAUCAUCAAACGCUUAUUUCGUUUUAUUAAACAAUUUUUAUUUCUUUGUUAGGAGCAUUACACUGUAUGAAAGAAACAACAGGAUACGGCA
Daphnia carinata is the source of this 3150-nucleotide long non-coding RNA. RefSeq lists it as uncharacterized. The transcript has 6 exons. The record is from RefSeq and is a predicted model, not a curated record. NCBI's taxonomy places the organism in Eukaryota, Metazoa, Arthropoda, Branchiopoda, Diplostraca, Daphniidae.